Molecule: ribosomal RNA, 255 nt
Filed under: uncultured bacterium
Lineage: Bacteria
Description: partial 16S ribosomal RNA
Rfam family: Bacterial small subunit ribosomal RNA
Source: RNAcentral
UACGUAGGGUGCAAGCGUUUGUCCGGAAUUAUUGGGCGUAAAGAGCUCGUAGGCGGUUUGUCGCGUCUGCUGUGAAAACCCGAGGCUCAACCUCGGGCCUGCAGUGGGUACGGGCAGACUAGAGUGCGGUAGGGGAGAUUGGAAUUCCUGGUGUAGCGGUGGAAUGCGCAGAUAUCAGGAGGAACACCCGUGGCGAAAGCGGCUCUCUGGGGACGGUACUGACGCUGAGACGCGAAAGCGUGGGGAGCAAACAGG